This 507-nucleotide unclassified non-coding RNA is filed under the name uncultured Entrophospora. RNAcentral's name for it is "SSU rRNA". It matches the Rfam family "Eukaryotic small subunit ribosomal RNA", at positions 591 to 1092 of the family's 1831-position model. Lineage: Eukaryota; Fungi; Glomeromycota; Glomeromycetes; Entrophosporales; Entrophosporaceae. The record is from RNAcentral.
CCAAUAGCGUAUAUUAAAGUUGUUGCAGUUAAAAAGCUCGUAGUUGAAUUUCGGGAUUGACGUGAUGGUCAUGCCUUAAGGGGUAUGAACUGUCGCUGUUGAUUUCUCACCUUCUGGAAAAACUUGAUGUCCUUUAUUGGGUGUCUUGCGGAUCCAGGACCUUUACCUUGAAAAAAUUAGAGUGUUUAAAGCAGGCAUUUUUGCUCGAAUACAUUAGCAUGGAAUAAUAGAAUAGGACGGCAUGGUUCUAUUUUGUUGGUUUCUAGGAUCACCGUAAUGAUUAAUAGGGAUAGGUGGGGGCAUUAGUAUUCAAUUGUCAGAGGUGAAAUUCUUGGAUUUAUUGAAGACUAACUACUGCGAAAGCAUUUGCCAAGGAUGUUUUCAUUAAUCAAGAACGAAAGUUAGGGGAUCGAAGACGAUCAGAUACCGUCGUAGUCUUAACCAUAAACUAUGCCGACUAGGGAUCGGAUGAUGUUAAUUUUAUAAUGACUCAUUCGGCGCCUUACG